This 504-nucleotide ribosomal RNA is filed under the name uncultured bacterium. RNAcentral describes it as "bacterial SSU rRNA". It matches the Rfam family "Bacterial small subunit ribosomal RNA", at positions 94 to 630 of the family's 1533-position model. The record is from RNAcentral.
AGCGGCGUACGGGUGAGUAACACGUGGAUCAUCUACCUUUUAGUGGGGAAUAACUUUGGGAAACCGAAGCUAAUACCGCAUAAGCCUGUAAAGGGAAAGCAGCAAUGCGCUGAAAGAGGAGUCCGCGGCCGAUUAGCUAGUUGGUGAGGUAAUGGCCCACCAAGGCGAUGAUCGGUAGCCGGCCUGAGAGGGCACACGGCCACACUGGCACUGAAACACGGGCCAGACUCCUACGGGAGGCAGCAGUGGGGAAUCUUGCACAAUGGGGUCAACCCUGAUGCAGCGACGCCGCGUGAGCGAUGAAGCCCUUCGGGGUGUAAAGCUCUUUCGGCAGGGACGAUAAUGACGGUACCUGAAGAAGAAGCUGCGGCUAACUACGUGCCAGCAGCCGCGGUAAUACGUAGGCAGCGAGCGUUGUUCGGAAUUACUGGGCGUAAAGAGUGUGUAGGCGGUGCUCUAAGUUCGGUGUGAAAUCUCCCGGCUUAACCGGGAGGGUGCGCCGGA